GCCCAACAACAACUUGGCAGGGCAACACAGUCCAAAAGCUCUAAUUCUCUCUAACAUCUGCUCCUUUGUUGCUUCUCGUUGUAGCCUCUCUGGCCAAGAAGAAUAAGAUCUAUGCUUGAAGCUGGCCAUCACCUUUCCUCUUAGUGCUAUUCUUUUCCAUCCCCACUUCAGGCCACCAAGCCAUGAUCUUGAGAUCCUUUAAACCCUCUACGUAGAGCUUCUCAUUCUCCUUCCAUAGGACCCGACCAGCCAAGAUGCUGUAUGCUAGGAGAAGCAAGCCCACUCGAGCCACCCGUCCAUCUGGGAUGAUUUAUAAAGCUGAUUUCUGGGAGCGAUAUGAAUCUGCUCUCCCAAGGUCAAGGAUCCAACCCAGACUGUGCUCAGCUUCCUUUAAAUCUCAAACAAAACCGCACCUUCUAAGGGACAUGUUCUAGAAUCCUUCUUAAUUACAAUACCUUUCUUAAUAGCAGCCCUUUUUGUGCUGGCAAAGAACCAGAAACUGAGGGGAUGUCCAUCAACUGGGGAAUGGCUGAACAAGUUGUGGUAGAUGAUGGUGAUGGGAUGCUAUUGUGCUGAAAGGAAUAAUGAACAGGACAAUUUCAGAAAGAGCUGGAAAGACUGACAUGAACUGAUGCAGAGUGAAAUAAGCAGAACCAGGAGAACAUGGUACACAAUAACAGCAGUAUUGUAGAACGAUCAAAUGUAAUGGACAGCUUUUAUCAGCAAUGCAAGGAUCCAGGACAAUUCUGAGGGACUUUGGACAAAGAAUGCUAUCCACCUCCAGAGAAAGAACUGUAGGAGUCAGAUCUGCUGAUCAAAACAUAUGAUUUUUUACUUUAGUUUAUUUAGAGGUUUGGAGUUCAUAUGAUUAUUUUCUUACAAAAAUGAACAUCAUGGAAAUAUGGUCUGCAUGAUGGCAUGUUGUAUAGCUCAGAUCAGAUUGCUUGCCAUCUCUAGGAGGAAGAAUGGAAGGGAGAGAGGAAGAAAAUUUAGACCAUAUAACUUCAGAAAAUGUAUAUGGAAACUUAAAUUAUGUGAUUGGCAAAACUUUAUUAAAAAAAUAAAAAUUGAU
RNAcentral lists this long non-coding RNA (1072 nucleotides) under Monodelphis domestica (gray short-tailed opossum). RNAcentral describes it as "lncRNA (ENSMODG00000039180.1)". The record is from RNAcentral. Lineage: Eukaryota; Metazoa; Chordata; Mammalia; Didelphimorphia; Didelphidae.